AGGGUUCGAUUCUGGCUCAGGAUGAACGCUAGCUACAGGCUUAACACAUGCAAGUCGAGGGGCAGCAUGAAGUUUGCUUGCAACUUGAUGGCGACCGGCGCACGGGUGAGUAACGCGUAUCCAACCUUCCCUAUAGUAGAGAAUAGCCCGGCGAAAGUCGGAUUAAUGCUCUAUGUUGUAUUUUUGCGGACAUCUAACGAAUACCAAAGGUUUACCGCUAUAGGAUGGGGAUGCGUCUGAUUAGGUUGUCGGCGGGGUAACGGCCCACCAAGCCGUCGAUCAGUAGGGGUUCUGAGAGGAAGGUCCCCCACAUUGGAACUGAGACACGGUCCAAACUCCUACGGGAGGCAGCAGUGAGGAAUAUUGGUCAAUGGACGGAAGUCUGAACCAGCCAAGUAAGCGUGCAGGAUGACGGCCCUAUGGGUUGUAAACUGCUUUUAUCAGGGGAUAAAGUCGGGGACGUGUCCCCGUUUGUAGGUACCUGAUGAAUAAGGACCGGCUAAUUCCGUGCCAGCCGCAGC
RNAcentral lists this ribosomal RNA (521 nucleotides) under uncultured bacterium. RNAcentral describes it as "bacterial SSU rRNA". It matches the Rfam family "Bacterial small subunit ribosomal RNA", at positions 8 to 518 of the family's 1533-position model. The record is from RNAcentral.